RNAcentral lists this ribosomal RNA (494 nucleotides) under uncultured bacterium. RNAcentral describes it as "partial 16S ribosomal RNA". It matches the Rfam family "Bacterial small subunit ribosomal RNA", at positions 28 to 506 of the family's 1533-position model. The record is from RNAcentral.
GACGAACGCUGGCGGCGUGCCUAAUACAUGCAAGUAGAACGCUGAAGGAGGAGCUUGCUUCUCCGGAUGAGUUGCGAACGGGUGAGUAACGCGUAGGUAACCUGCCUGGUAGCGGGGGAUAACUAUUGGAAACGAUAGCUAAUACCGCAUAACAGUAGAUGUUGCAUGACAUUUGCUUAAAAGGUGCAAUUGCAUCACUACCAGAUGGACCUGCGUUGUAUUAGCUAGUUGGUGAGGUAACGGCUCACCAAGGCGACGAUACAUAGCCGACCUGAGAGGGUGAUCGGCCACACUGGGACUGAGACACGGCCCAGACUCCUACGGGAGGCAGCAGUAGGGAAUCUUCGGCAAAGGACGGAAGUCUGACCGAGCAACGCCGCGUGAGUGAAGAAGGUGUUCGGAUCGUAAAGCUCUGUUGUAAGAGAAGAACGAGUGUGAGAGUGGAAAGUUCACACUGUGACGGUAUCUUACCAGAAAGGGACGGCUAACUACGU